GGGCGCUUAGCUCAGCUGGGAGAGCAUUCGCUUCACACGCGAGGGGUCACAGGUUCAAGUCCUGCAGUGCCCA
This 73-nucleotide transfer RNA is filed under the name Clostridiales bacterium. RNAcentral describes it as "tRNA-Val". It matches the Rfam family "tRNA". Rfam says of the family: Transfer RNA (tRNA) molecules are approximately 80 nucleotides in length. Their secondary structure includes four short double-helical elements and three loops (D, anti-codon, and T loops). Lineage: Bacteria; Bacillati; Bacillota; Clostridia; Eubacteriales. The record is from RNAcentral.